GGGAGAAAGAGGGCUUAGCUUUGAUGCUCUCGCUAUUAGAUGAGCCUGCGUAAGAUUAGCUUGUUGGUGAGGUAAAGGCUUACCAAGGCGACGAUCUUUAGCUGGUCUGAGAGGACGAUCAGCCACAUUGGGACUGAGACACGGCCCAGACUCCUACGGGAGGCAGCAGUGGGGAAUAUUGGACAAUGGGCGCAAGCCUGAUCCAGCCAUACCGCGUGUGUGAAGAAGGCUUUCGGGUUGUAAAGCACUUUAAGUAAGGAAGAAAAGAGUAUUGUUAAUACCAAUACUCCGUGACAUUACUUACAGAAUAAGGACCGGCUAAUUCCGUGCCAGCAGCCGCGGUAAUACGGAAGGUCCAAGCGUUAAUCGGAAUUACUGGGCGUAAAGCGCGCGUAGGUGGUUUAUUAAGUUGGGUGUGAAAGCCCCGGGCUCAACCUGGGAACUGCAUCCAAAACUGAUUCACUAGAGUACGAAAGAGGAAAGUAGAAUUCACAGUGUAGCGGUGGAAUGCGUAGAUAUUGUGAAGAAUACCGAUGGCGAAGGCAGCUUUCUGGUUCUGUACUGACACUGAGGUGCGAAAGCGUGGGUAGCGAACAGGAUUAGAUACCCUGGUAGUCCACGCCGUAAACGAUGACAACUAGCUGUUGGGAAGCUAUGCUUUUCAGUGGCGCAGCUAACGUCUUAAGUUGUCCGCCUGGGGAGUACGGCC
RNAcentral lists this ribosomal RNA (709 nucleotides) under uncultured Gammaproteobacteria bacterium. RNAcentral's name for it is "bacterial SSU rRNA". It matches the Rfam family "Bacterial small subunit ribosomal RNA", at positions 198 to 887 of the family's 1533-position model. The record is from RNAcentral. Lineage: Bacteria; Pseudomonadati; Pseudomonadota; Gammaproteobacteria.